UAUAAGAGAUUUUGAGUUUCUGCUUGCAUUGUUUGACCACUCGUCUUAUUCAAAAAAUUUUGAAAUUAUUAUUUAUUUUUUUUGACUUACUUUAUUAUCCAUAGUAUUUUAAGCACAACUUUUCGUUUUUUAUAUUUGCACAAAUUUUUUGAAUAAGACGAGUGGUCAAACAAUACAAACAAAAACUCAAAAUCCCUUAUA
This 201-nucleotide microRNA precursor is filed under the name Oryza sativa Indica Group (long-grained rice). RNAcentral describes it as "MIR812 microRNA precursor family". It matches the Rfam family "MIR812 microRNA precursor family". Lineage: Eukaryota; Viridiplantae; Streptophyta; Magnoliopsida; Poales; Poaceae. The record is from Rfam by way of RNAcentral.